RNAcentral lists this unclassified non-coding RNA (246 nucleotides) under rhizosphere metagenome. RNAcentral describes it as "partial ribosomal RNA internal transcribed spacer region". The record is from RNAcentral.
GAGCGUGAGGCUCAGUCGUGGCGUCUGCUGCGUGCUGGGCCGACCCUCCCACCCGUGUCGAUUUCUAUCUUGUUGCUUUGGCGGGCCGGGCUACGUCGUCGCUGCCCGUGAGGGAGAUGCGUCGGCCGCCCACCGGUUUCGGCUGGAGCGCGUCCGCCAAAGACCUAUCCAAAACUCAUGUUGUCUUUGUCGUCUCAGCUUUAUUAUUGAAUUGAUAAAACUUUCAACAACGGAUCUCUUGGCUCU